RNAcentral lists this ribosomal RNA (253 nucleotides) under uncultured bacterium. RNAcentral's name for it is "partial 16S ribosomal RNA". It matches the Rfam family "Bacterial small subunit ribosomal RNA", at positions 524 to 776 of the family's 1533-position model. The record is from RNAcentral.
UACAGAGGGGGCAAGCGUGGUUCGGAAUUACUGGGCGUAAAGGGCGCGUAGGUGGCCUUCUAAGUUGAACGUGAAAUCCCUGGGCUCAACCCAGGAACUGCGUCCAAGACUGGGAGGCUUGAAUCCGGGAGAGGGAUGCGGAAUUCCAGGUGUAGCGGUGAAAUGCGUAGAUAUCUGGAGGAACACCGGUGGCGAAGGCGGCAUCCUGGACCGGUAUUGACACUGAGGCGCGAAAGCCAGGGGAGCAAACGGG